AAAAUGACUUGAUGUGAUGUGUAUGAUUGAGUAUAAGAACUUAAACUGCAACCGGAGCUUAAAAGUCUAAGUAGUGUUUCCUUGA
Molecule: small RNA, 85 nt
Filed under: Arabidopsis thaliana (thale cress)
Lineage: Eukaryota; Viridiplantae; Streptophyta; Magnoliopsida; Brassicales; Brassicaceae
Description: ATSL268820
Source: RNAcentral